Molecule: ribosomal RNA, 498 nt
Filed under: uncultured bacterium
Lineage: Bacteria
Description: partial 16S ribosomal RNA
Rfam family: Bacterial small subunit ribosomal RNA
Source: RNAcentral
AUUGAACGCUGGCGGCAUGCUUUACACAUGCAAGUCGAACGGUAACAGGCCGCAAGGUGCUGACGAGUGGCGAACGGGUGAGUAAUGCAUCGGAACGUGCACAGUCGUGGGGGAUAACGCAGCGAAAGCUGCGCUAAUACCGCAUACGAUCUAUGGAUGAAAGCGGGGGACCGUAAGGCCUCGCGCGAUUGGAGCGGCCGAUGUCAGAUUAGGUAGUUGGUGGGGUAAAGGCUCACCAAGCCAACGAUCUGUAGCUGGUCUGAGAGGACGACCAGCCACACUGGGACUGAGACACGGCCCAGACUCCUACGGGAGGCAGCAGUGGGGAAUUUUGGACAAUGGGCGCAAGCCUGAUCCAGCAAUGCCGCGUGCAGGAAGAAGGCCUUCGGGUUGUAAACUGCUUUUGUACGGAACGAAACGGCUCUGGUCAAUACCUGGGGCUAAUGACGGUACCGUAAGAAUAAGCACCGGCUAACUACGUGCCAGCAGCCGCCGUAA